This 465-nucleotide ribosomal RNA is filed under the name Vreelandella stevensii. RNAcentral describes it as "partial 16S ribosomal RNA". It matches the Rfam family "Bacterial small subunit ribosomal RNA", at positions 338 to 795 of the family's 1533-position model. Lineage: Bacteria; Pseudomonadati; Pseudomonadota; Gammaproteobacteria; Oceanospirillales; Halomonadaceae. The record is from RNAcentral.
CCUACGGGAGGCAGCAGUGGGGAAUAUUGGACAAUGGGCGAAAGCCUGAUCCAGCCAUGCCGCGUGUGUGAAGAAGGCCUUCGGGUUGUAAAGCACUUUCAGUGGGGAAGAAAGCCUUGGGGCUAAUACCCUCGAGGAAGGACAUCACCCACAGAAGAAGCACCGGCUAACUCCGUGCCAGCAGCCGCGGUAAUACGGAGGGUGCGAGCGUUAAUCGGAAUUACUGGGCGUAAAGCGCGCGUAGGCGGUCUGAUAAGCCGGUUGUGAAAGCCCCGGGCUCAACCUGGGAACGGCAUUCGGAACUGUCAGGCUAGAGUGCAGGAGAGGAAGGUAGAAUUCCCGGUGUAGCGGUGAAAUGCGUAGAGAUCGGGAGGAAUACCAGUGGCGAAGGCGGCCUUCUGGACUGACACUGACGCUGAGGUGCGAAAGCGUGGGUAGCAAACAGGAUUAGAUACCCUAGUAGUC